This 201-nucleotide long non-coding RNA is filed under the name Homo sapiens (human). RNAcentral's name for it is "PREDICTED lncRNA (TCONS_00171749)". Lineage: Eukaryota; Metazoa; Chordata; Mammalia; Primates; Hominidae. The record is from RNAcentral.
CUCAGAGUCACUGCCCGGAGGACGCUCCCUGGGAGGAGUCUGCCCUGUUUGACUUGCUCCUCUGUUCUCUUCACCGCAAAGGAAGAUGGAAGACGGGAACGAAGACAGGGAGCUGCGCGUUGGAAGUGGAAACUGAGUGUUGCCCUGGCGACAUUGUCCGUGUCCAGCCCUGGCUCCCCUAAACAGCCUUGCUCACUCUGG